This 301-nucleotide ribosomal RNA is filed under the name uncultured bacterium. RNAcentral's name for it is "partial 16S ribosomal RNA". It matches the Rfam family "Bacterial small subunit ribosomal RNA", at positions 509 to 807 of the family's 1533-position model. The record is from RNAcentral.
CAGUCGCCGCGGGAAUACGGAGGGUGCAAGCGUUAUCCGGAUUUAUUGGGUUUAAAGGGUCCGUAGGCGGAUCUGUAAGUCAGUGGUGAAAUCUCACAGCUUAACUGUGAAACUGCCAUUGAUACUGCAGGUCUUGAGUAAAUUUGAAGUGGCUGGAAUAAGUAGUGUAGCGGUGAAAUGCAUAGAUAUUACUUAGAACACCAAUUGCGAAGGCAGGUCACUAAGAUUUAACUGACGCUGAUGGACGAAAGCGUGGGGAGCGAACAGGAUUAGAUAUCCCCGUAGUCCCUGUCUCUUAUAC